GCCCGCCUAGCUCAAUCGGAUAGAGCGUCAGACUCUUAUAAUCCAGGGAAACCGUGGAGGAGUCCAUCUGAAGGCUGCGAGUUCGACCCUCGCGGUGGGCU
Non-coding RNA from Obba rivulosa, 101 nucleotides. The record is from the annotation of a GenBank genome assembly. Lineage: Eukaryota; Fungi; Basidiomycota; Agaricomycetes; Polyporales; Gelatoporiaceae.